Molecule: long non-coding RNA, 492 nt
Organism: Phyllostomus hastatus (greater spear-nosed bat)
Lineage: Eukaryota; Metazoa; Chordata; Mammalia; Chiroptera; Phyllostomidae
Exons: 3
Source: RefSeq, a predicted model, not a curated record
CAAAAUCACGGCUCAUGGCAGUGGUGGUGCUGGUGGUCAUUAUGGAAGCUGUUGUCAAGAUCCUGCUCUUCCUCCUCUGCCUCAUCAUCCUCAUGUGAGCUCUGCCCCAGGGGGUAGCAAGGUACCACUUGAGGAAGGUGACAAGGCCCACACAGUACAUGGAGAAAGCCAACACUGUCUCAAGUUAAUCUCUCAGAUUAUGUUGCCUGAGACUCACCAUCCACUUCCUGCCAAGUUUGAACAGCAGCCUUUCUUUUCUAUGGCCCGAGAUGAGGUGCAAUCAGCAUGGGCUGGCUGAAGACCUGGUAUGACUCCUGCUUCCUGGUGGACGUUUUACCAGAUUCCUCCAUGUCCCUGAAUCUCACACCAUCUCACACCAGCCAUGCCAGGGCCUUUGUGUCCCUGAGACUUUGCAGGUGCAGUUCCUUCUGCUGAAAUGCCCUUCCCUUUCCUACAUCUCCAAGGGCUGACCAUUACUGCAAUCAAUUAAAA